This 456-nucleotide ribosomal RNA is filed under the name Arsipoda sp. IBE-JGZ-01015. RNAcentral's name for it is "partial 16S ribosomal RNA". Lineage: Eukaryota; Metazoa; Arthropoda; Insecta; Coleoptera; Chrysomelidae. The record is from RNAcentral.
UCCUUUUGUUAAAAAAUUAAGGUCUAGCCUGCCCACUGAAUAGUUUUGAAUGGCCGCGGUAUUUUGACCGUGCUAAGGUAGCAUAAUCAUUAGUUUUUUAAUUGAAAGCUGGAAUGAAGGGUUGGAUGAAGAAAUAACUGUUUCUAAUUAAUUUUAUUAAAAUUUUAUUUUUAAGUUAAAAAGCUUAAAUAAUUUUAAAAGACGAGAAGACCCUAUAGAGUUUAAUUAUUUUAUUUAAUUUUAAAAUUUAGUUAUUAAAAUUUUAUUAUAAAAUAUAUAAUUUAAUUGGGGUGAUUAAAAAAUUAAAUUAACUUUUUUUAUAUAUGUAUAUUUAUAAAUAAAUUAUUGAUCCAAUUGUUUUGAUUAUAAGAUAAAAUUACCUUAGGGAUAACAGCGUAAUCUUAUUAAAGAGUUCUUAUCGAAAGUAAGGAUUGCGACCUCGAUGUUGGAUUAAAA